UGGCUUCGAGGGACGAAGGAGGCUAGGUUAGCCGAAAGAUGGUUAUCGGUUCAAAGACGCAAGGUGACCUUGCUUUUUCAAGGUAAGAAGGGGUAGAGAAAAUGCCUUGAGCCAAUGUCCAAGUACCAGGCGCUACGGCGCUAAAGUAACCCAUGCCAUACUCCCAGGAAAAGCUCGAACGACCUUUAACAAAAGAGUACUUAUACCCGAAAUUGACACAAGUGGGUAGGUAGAGAAUACCUAGGGGCACGAGAUAACUCUCUCUAA
Long non-coding RNA from Telopea speciosissima, 267 nucleotides. RefSeq lists it as uncharacterized. Lineage: Eukaryota; Viridiplantae; Streptophyta; Magnoliopsida; Proteales; Proteaceae. The record is from RefSeq and is a predicted model, not a curated record. The transcript is spliced from 3 exons.